CUUUUUUAAGAAUUUCUUAUGAAUUUUGUGUUUGAUUUUUUAUUCCAAGUUAUUCAUUCCCUGCGAAAUACGCGAUUACAGCGCCCCAACGAUGAAACACGCAAUAUACUUCCUGUGAUUCUCGGACUCUAAUCGAUAUUUCUCAUGAUCGAUUUUUCAGCGGCAAACAUGGCGGAAAGGAGUGACACCUCAUCUGUGAAGAAGAAAGUAUUUUCCAAAACAAUUAUCCAGAAAGAGAUAAAACGUACAUUUUUGGCUUCAAGACAAGAAAAUUUUUAUGACCGUGCGCAAUGUGGUUGGUAGAGUUAGUGUUUGUUGCGAAAUUUUUUUUAUAUUUUUCUGAGCAAAAUGGCUCUCAUUAAAUUAAUUAAUUCAAUCCAUUCAAAUUGUAAUUCGCGAAGUUAGAGUCAGUGAGUCUGCAAACGCGCGCGUUGAUAGUCUUUUAUUUUUCUUUUUUUGUAUUUUCUUCUGUUCAAUAUUCGGUUUCGCUGUUAGAGUCAGUGCUCAAGAGGAUAAGAUCUCUCCUGGAGAUCAAGAUAACGCUUCACAGCAUCAAGUUUUGCAUUUUUUGGGGAAAAUCCAACGGUGGCUCUAAAGUCAAUAAUGUAAGAAUCUUUCAUUACCUCCAACUUAAGAUUUUGCUUUUAAAUAUAAAUUCUAAUGUUUAAUGUUUUGUUACAGAUCUUCUAGAGUC
Frieseomelitta varia is the source of this 694-nucleotide long non-coding RNA. RefSeq lists it as uncharacterized. The record is from RefSeq and is a predicted model, not a curated record. Lineage: Eukaryota; Metazoa; Arthropoda; Insecta; Hymenoptera; Apidae. The transcript is spliced from 4 exons.